AAGACUGCUUUCAGGGCUCAUUUCUAUAGUUUGUUACUAGAGAAGUUUGCCUGAAUGUGUGAGUACUAGAAACCAUGAGGAGCAGUCACUUUGUCUCCUGAGUCUGAAAUGGCUCUUGGUGUUGCUUCAGUGCAAAUGCCUCGAUGAUUGUUCUUUUCCUUUGGGAGAGGGAGAGAGGUUACAUUGA
RNAcentral lists this small nucleolar RNA (187 nucleotides) under Fukomys damarensis (Damara mole-rat). RNAcentral's name for it is "Small nucleolar RNA U3". It matches the Rfam family "Small nucleolar RNA U3". Rfam says of the family: Small nucleolar RNAs (snoRNAs) are involved in the processing and modification of rRNA in the nucleolus. There are two main classes of snoRNAs: the box C/D class, and the box H/ACA class. Lineage: Eukaryota; Metazoa; Chordata; Mammalia; Rodentia; Bathyergidae. The record is from Rfam by way of RNAcentral.